RNAcentral lists this ribosomal RNA (252 nucleotides) under uncultured bacterium. Its description in RNAcentral is "partial 16S ribosomal RNA". It matches the Rfam family "Bacterial small subunit ribosomal RNA", at positions 524 to 776 of the family's 1533-position model. The record is from RNAcentral.
UACGAGGGGGCGAGCGUUGUUCGGAAUUAUUGGGCGUAAAGGGUGCGUAGGCGGUUUGGUAAGUCUUAUGUGAAAUCUACAGGCUCAACUUGUAGUCUGCAUGAGAAACUGCCGGGCUUGAGUGUGGGAGAGGUGAGUGGAAUUCCUGGUGUAGCGGUGAAAUGCGUAGAUAUCAGGAGGAACACCUGUGGCGAAAGCGGCUCACUGGACCAUAACUGACGCUGAUGCACGAAAGCUAGGGGAGCAAACAGG